AAGUCGUAACAAGGUUUCCGUAGGUGAACCUGCGGAAGGAUCAUUACAGAGUUCAUGCCCGUAAAGGGUAGACCUCCCACCCUUGUAUAUUAUUACUUGGUGCUUUGGCGGGCUGCCUAUAUUAACAUUAGCGUCCGCCAGAGGUUAUCAAACUCUUUUUAUUAAUGUCGUCUGAGUACUAUAUAAUAGUUAAAA
RNAcentral lists this unclassified non-coding RNA (195 nucleotides) under plant metagenome. RNAcentral's name for it is "partial contains small subunit ribosomal RNA and internal transcribed spacer 1". The stretch from base 1 to 46 matches the Rfam family "Eukaryotic small subunit ribosomal RNA", at positions 1786 to 1831 of the family's 1831-position model. The record is from RNAcentral.